GACGAACGCUGGCGGCGUGCUUAACACAUGCAAGUCGAACGGAAAGGUCCUGCCUUUGUGGGGUGCUCGAGUGGCGAACGGGUGAGUAACACGUGAGUAACCUGUACUUGACCUUGGGAUAACCUCAGGAAACUGGGGCUAAUACCGGAUAGGAGCUCCUGCUGUUUGGUGGGGGUUGGAAAGUUUCGGCGGUUGGGGAUGGACUCGCGGCCUAUCAGCUUGUUGGUGGGGUAGUGGCUUACCAAGGCCUUGACCGGUAGCCGGCCUGAGAGGGUGACCGGCCACAUUGGGACGGAGAUACGACCCAGACUCCUACGGGAGGCAGCAGUGGGGAAUAUUGCACAAUGGGCGGAAGCCUGAUGCAGCAACGCCGCGUGCGGGAUGACGGCCUUCGGGUUGUAAACCGCUUUCGCCUGUGACGAAGCGUGAGUGACGGUAAUGGGUAAAGAAGCACCGGCUAACUACGUG
RNAcentral lists this ribosomal RNA (468 nucleotides) under uncultured bacterium. RNAcentral describes it as "partial 16S ribosomal RNA". It matches the Rfam family "Bacterial small subunit ribosomal RNA", at positions 28 to 507 of the family's 1533-position model. The record is from RNAcentral.